RNAcentral lists this ribosomal RNA (426 nucleotides) under Triticum aestivum (bread wheat). RNAcentral describes it as "partial small subunit ribosomal RNA". The record is from RNAcentral. Lineage: Eukaryota; Viridiplantae; Streptophyta; Magnoliopsida; Poales; Poaceae.
AUGGAUAAACAGGAUGCGGUUAGAUCAAUUCUUUGCAUUGGUACAGUAACCUUUGAGGAGAAGUACCUAGGGCUGCCAACGCCCGAGGGUCGCAUGACGCAAGGUAAAUUUCAGAAUCUGCAAUCACGUCUCUUGAAGAGAAUUAUAGCUUGGGGUGAUACCCUCUCUCUGGCCGGUAAGGAGAUCAUGAUUAAGGCGGUUGCUCAGGCUAUCCCUACCUAUAUUAUGGGUGUCUUCAAGCUCCCUAUGUCAGUGUGUGAUGACCUGAACAGAAUGGUACGGAACUUCUGGUGGGGCUCAGUGGAUGGUAAAAGGAAAACACACUGGUUAGCAUGGCCAAAAAUACAGGCUCAUAAAUCAAAGGGUGGCCUGGGAUUCAGAGACUUCCGCAUCUUCAACCAGACCCUCCUCGCGAGACAGGCUUGA